AAAGCUUUAAGUUAAUUUAAACUAUUAACCUUCAAAGUUAAAAAUAUAUUAUUUAUAAGCUUUA
This 64-nucleotide transfer RNA is filed under the name Leptocoris augur. RNAcentral's name for it is "tRNA-Trp". The record is from RNAcentral. Lineage: Eukaryota; Metazoa; Arthropoda; Insecta; Hemiptera; Rhopalidae.